Molecule: ribosomal RNA, 503 nt
Filed under: uncultured bacterium
Lineage: Bacteria
Description: partial 16S ribosomal RNA
Rfam family: Bacterial small subunit ribosomal RNA
Source: RNAcentral
AUUGAACGCUGGCGGCAGGCUUAACACAUGCAAGUCGAGCGGGGUGAUGGUGCUUGCACUAUCACUUAGCGGCGGACGGGUGAGUAAUGCUUAGGAAUCUGCCUAUUAGUGGGGGACAACAUCUCGAAAGGGAUGCUAAUACCGCAUACGUCCUACGGGAGAAAGCAGGGGAUCACUUGUGACCUUGCGCUAAUAGAUGAGCCUAAGUCGGAUUAGCUAGUUGGUGGGGUAAAGGCCUACCAAGGCGACGAUCUGUAGCGGGUCUGAGAGGAUGAUCCGACACACUAGGACUGAGACACGGCCCAGGCUCCUACGGGAGGCAGCAGUGGGGAAUAUUGGACAAUGGGGGGAACCCUGAUCCAGCCAUGACGCGUGUGUGAAGAAGGCCUUAUGGUUGUAAAGCACUUUAAGCGAGGAGGAGGCUCUUUUGGUUAAUACCCAAGAUGAGUGGACGUUACUCGCAGAAUAAGCACCGGCUAACUCUGUGCCAGCCGCCGCCGUAA